Molecule: long non-coding RNA, 1270 nt
Organism: Cyprinus carpio (common carp)
Lineage: Eukaryota; Metazoa; Chordata; Actinopteri; Cypriniformes; Cyprinidae
Source: Ensembl
UAAUUAGCCAAUACAGAGACACACUGCUGCAACGAAUAUCAAGAUUGAACUUUUUAAUGCACAAUCCAUCACAAAUAAAUCUUGUCUCAUACAUGAUCAUAUUCUAGAAAAGUGUUUAGAUAUGAUGUGCCUUACAGAAACCUGGCAUCAACCAGAUGUUUUUUCUGUUUUAAAUGAGACCUGUCCCCCUGGUUACUGCUAUUUACAGAAAGCCCGCAGUACAGGGUGUGGUGGUGGUCUGGCUGUCAUCCACCGAAGUGAUCUGAUCUUGUCCCCUGUAACCCUGCCUGAGCUGUCUUCGUUUGAAUGCCUUGCAUUUAAAUGUAAGCACCCUCUUUCCACUAUGAUAUUUCUCAUUUAUCGGCCACCCAAACCAAAUCCAUCAUUCAUCCCAGAGAUGUCCAAUCUUCUUUCAACAUUCUGUACAAUGUCUGCUAAUAUCAUUAUACUUGGAGAUAUGAAUAUUCAUGUCAACUCUUCAACCUGUCGUUUUGCAGCAGAAUUUCUCCAAUUACUCGACUGUUUUAAUCUGACACAACUUGUCGAUUCCCCAACUCAUACCAGGGGCCAUACUCUUGACCUAGUUAUUACAAACUCUGUUUAUCUCAGCAAUCUUCUGGUGUAUGAUCUGGGAGUUUCUGAUCAUAAGGCCAUCUCCAUGAAGAUGUCUUCACUGUCCAGCUUCAUCAAGCCCAAACGCCAAAUCUGUUUCAGAAAUCUGAAAAACAUCAACCAAGAAACUAUGGCAUCUGAUCUCCAGCAUCUCCUUUCUGUAAACUGUCUACCACCCAUGGACUCAGUGGACUAUUAUAAUAACACCCUCAGAAGCAUUCUGGAUCUUCAUGCCCCGGUCAAAACCAGAACAGUCACUUUCACCCGAUCAGCACCCUGGUAUACCGGUGAUCUACGAAAAAUGAAGGCAGUUGGGCGUGCCCUUGAGAGGAGAUCCAAAAGCACAGGUCUCACUGUGCACAAGCUCGCUUUUCGGGAACAUCAAAAGGACUACUCAAAGUCACUUAUGGAGGCACGGUAAAAUUUCUAUUCAAAUGUCAUCAGAAAUAGUCCCGGAAACUCCAAACAGCUGUUCUCCACCAUAAAUCAUCUACUCAAACCUCAAACCCCCUCACUUACAGAAACUACAGAAGAGCACUGUAUUAAUUUCCUGGACUUUUUCAAAACAAAAAUAGACUCAAUUUACUCUACCUUUUCUGAAUCUUCACCACUAUCCACCCUGACUAUCCACAUACAGCCUGUAAUUUUGGAGCCCCUA